CAACGUUACUCCUGUAAAGUCAUAUUCAGCUCUGCAAUCAACCUAGACAACUAGAUGCAUCAAUCAAUCGACACCAACACUGGUAGGGACUCGCAGUGACUCUUGGAUGGACAGAUCAUGGCUGCUGCUAACCUCUCCCAGACCACAGCCUCUGCUUCCUCCCGGCCCUGGGUAUCGCAUUGAGACUGGAAGGACUUUGUACAGCGGAAGGGGCUAAAGGAGCUUGGAGAAGGCUAUGUGCUGUCAGCACCAGGCCUUGGGUCUCAGGUACACCAACUUUCUCCACUUUCUGCAUCUUGUCAUCUGAGUGAUUUGUGUUGUCCUUUUCACAGUCAUUGUAUCACAGGGUGAGCAGUUGACCCACCUCCCCAGGCUUCUGACUGGCUUCUCUGU
This is a long non-coding RNA of Anguilla anguilla (European eel), 393 nucleotides long. RefSeq lists it as uncharacterized. The transcript is spliced from 3 exons. NCBI's taxonomy places the organism in Eukaryota, Metazoa, Chordata, Actinopteri, Anguilliformes, Anguillidae. The record is from RefSeq and is a predicted model, not a curated record.